Molecule: ribosomal RNA, 1346 nt
Filed under: uncultured bacterium
Lineage: Bacteria
Description: bacterial SSU rRNA
Rfam family: Bacterial small subunit ribosomal RNA
Source: RNAcentral
GACGAACGUUGGCGGCGUGCUUAACACAUGCAAGUCGAACGGAAAGGCCCUGCUUUUGUGGGGUGCUCGAGUGGCGAACGGUUGAGUAACACGUGAGUAACCUGCCCUUGACUUUGGGAUAACUUCAGGAAACUGGGGCUAAUACCGGAUAGGAGCUCCUGCUGCAUGGUGGGGGUUGGAAAGUUUCGGCGGUUGGGGAUGGACUCGCGGCUUAUCAGCUUGUUGGUGGGGUAGUGGCUUACCAAGGCUUUGACGGGUAGCCGGCCUGAGAGGGUGACCGGCCACAUUGGGACUGAGAUACGGCCCAGACUCCUACGGGAGGCAGCAGUGGGGAAUAUUGCACAAUGGGCGGAAGCCUGAUGCAGCAACGCCGCGUGCGGGAUGACGGCCUUCGGGUUGUAAACCGCUUCCGCCUGUGACGAAGCGUGAGUGACGGUAAUGGGUAAAGAAGCACCGGCUAACUACGUGCCAGCAGCCGCGGUGAUACGUAGGGUGCGAGCGUUGUCCGGAUUUAUUGGGCGUAAAGGGCUCGUAGGUGGUUGAUCGCGUCGGAAGUGUAAUCUUGGGGCUUAACCCUGAGCGUGCUUUCGAUACGGGUUGACUUGAGGAAGGUAGGGGAGAAUGGAAUUCCUGGUGGAGCGGUGGAAUGCGCAGAUAUCAGGAGGAACACCAGUGGCGAAGGCGGUUCUCUGGGCCUUUCCUGACGCUGAGGAGCGAAAGCGUGGGGAGCGAACAGGCUUAGAUACCCUGGUAGUCAACGCUGUAAACGGUGGGUACUAGGUGUGGGGUCCAUUCCACGGGUUCCGUGCCGUAGCUAACGCUUUAAGUACCCCGCCUGGGGAGUACGGCCGCAAGGCUAAAACUCAAAGGAAUUGACGGGGCCCCGCACAAGCGGCGGAGCAUGCGGAUUAAUUCGAUGCAACGCUUAGAACCUUACCUGGGUUUGACAUGGAUCGGGAGUGCUCAGAGAUGGGUGUGCCUCUUUUGGGGUCGGUUCACAGGUGGUGCAUGCCUGUCGUCAGCUCGUGUCGUGAGAUGUUGGGUUAAGUCCCGCAACGAGCGCAACCCUUGUUCACUGUUGCCAGCACGUUAUGGUGGGGACUCAGUGGAGACCGCCGGGGUCAACUCGGAGGAGGGUGGGGAUGACGUCAAGUCCUCAUGCCCCUUAUGUCCAGGGCUUCACGCAUGCUACAAUGGCUGGUACAGAGAGUGGCGAGCCUGUGAGGGUGAGCGAAUCUCGGAAAGCCGGUCUCAGUUCGGAUUGGGGUCUGCAACUCGACCUCAUGAAGUCGGAGUCGCUAGUAAUCGCAGAUCAGCAACGCUGCGGUGGAUACGUUCCCGGGGCU